GGGCCCGCACAAGCAGCGGAGCAUGUGGUUUAAUUCGACGCAACGCGAAGAACCUUACCAGGUCUUGACAUCGAACUAAAGCGCUAGAGAUAGCGUGUCCCUUCGGGGGAGCGAAGACAGGUGGUGCAUGGUUGUCGUCAGCUCGUGUCGUGAGAUGUUGGGUUAAGUCCCGCAACGAGCGCAACCCUUGUAGUCAGUUACUAACGCGCAAUGGCGAGGACUCUGACGAGACUGCCGGGGACAACUCGGAGGAAGGUGGGGACGACGUCAAAUCAUCAUGCCCCUUAUGACCUGGGCUACACACGUGCUACAAUGGCCGCAACAAAGAGGAGCGAACACGCAAGUGGGAGCAGAUCUUAGAAAAGCGGUCUCAGUUCAGAUCGUGGGCUGCAACCCGCCACGUGAAGUCGGAGUUGCUAGUAAUCGCGAAUCAGCAUGUCG
This 441-nucleotide ribosomal RNA is filed under the name uncultured Bacillota bacterium. RNAcentral's name for it is "bacterial SSU rRNA". It matches the Rfam family "Bacterial small subunit ribosomal RNA", at positions 917 to 1359 of the family's 1533-position model. The record is from RNAcentral. Lineage: Bacteria; Bacillati; Bacillota.